This 253-nucleotide ribosomal RNA is filed under the name uncultured prokaryote. RNAcentral's name for it is "partial 16S ribosomal RNA". It matches the Rfam family "Bacterial small subunit ribosomal RNA", at positions 524 to 776 of the family's 1533-position model. The record is from RNAcentral.
UACGAAGGGUGCAAGCGUUGUUCGGAAUUAUUGGGCGUAAAGCGCGCGUAGGCGGGCUUGUAAGUCGAUUGUGAAAUCCCUGGGCUCAACCUAGGAAUUGCAGUCGAAACUGCAAGUCUUGAAUGCUUGAGAGGAUGGCGGAAUUCCUGGUGUAGUAGUGAAAUACGUAGAUAUCAGGAGGAACACCGGAGGCGAAGGCGGCUAUCUGGCAAUGCAUUGACGCUGAGGCGCGAAAGCGUGGGGAUCAAACAGG